AUACGUAGGGGGCAAGCGUUAUCCGGAUUUACUGGGUGUAAAGGGUGCGUAGGUGGCAAGGCAAGUCAGAUGUGAAAGCCCGGGGCUCAACUCCGGUACUGCAUUUGAAACUGUCUAGCUAGAGUGCAGGAGAGGUAAGCGGAAUUCCUAGUGUAGCGGUGAAAUGCGUAGAUAUUAGGAGGAACACCAGUAGCGAAGGCGGCUUUCUGGACUGUAACUGACACUGAGGCACGAAAGCGUGGGGAGC
This 247-nucleotide ribosomal RNA is filed under the name uncultured bacterium. RNAcentral's name for it is "partial 16S ribosomal RNA". It matches the Rfam family "Bacterial small subunit ribosomal RNA", at positions 523 to 769 of the family's 1533-position model. The record is from RNAcentral.